This 253-nucleotide ribosomal RNA is filed under the name uncultured bacterium. RNAcentral's name for it is "partial 16S ribosomal RNA". It matches the Rfam family "Bacterial small subunit ribosomal RNA", at positions 524 to 776 of the family's 1533-position model. The record is from RNAcentral.
GACGUAGGGCGCGAGCGUUGUCCGGAAUUAUUGGGCGUAAAGAGCUUGUAGGCGGUUUGUCGCGUCUGCUGUGAAAAUCCGGGGCUCAACCCCGGACUUGCAGUGGGUACGGGCAGACUAGAGUGUGGUAGGGGAGACUGGAAUUCCUGGUGUAGCGGUGAAAUGCGCAGAUAUCAGGAGGAACACCGAUGGCGAAGGCAGGUCUCUGGGCCACUACUGACGCUGAGAAGCGAAAGCAUGGGGAGCGAACAGG